CCCAUCCUUGCAGGCACCCAGGAGGUGUCCAGUCUGUACUGGGCAGUAUGAACAGAAACCUUCAUUGAAGAAAAAGAACAGCAGCUACCAUUACUGAGCAUUCAGUGUGCCAAGCACCAUCCCAAGUGUUCACAUCCUCCAUGUGUUGUCAAUCUUCCCCUUCUCAUUUUGGUCAGAUGUCAUCUCCUGUAAUACCCAGACAGCAUCCAACCUCUUUGUCAUUUUAAGGCAGACCAGCCUCCUGUCCAAGCACUGGCCUGUCCUUUCUGCUCCAGUCAUACUGAUGACACCUUGUUUUUUAAGCCUAAAACCUACUUCUCCCAAUUUGCUCGGCAAUUAUUUGCUAAUCACCCUGGAUUUACCUAGGACAUACUUUUCCAUGAAUGAAAGAGCCAUUCAGGGAACAACACUGGGAAAUGCCCCCACGGAGAUGCUGAGAAAGGCUCAGACUCUGUUUACUCCCAUAUGUGCAGCACAAUCAGUGGGAAAGUUGCAACUGAGAGGGGAAAAAAAAAGGUUUUUUUCUUCCUUAAAAAAAAAAAAAAAAACUUUUUGUUUUCAAUCUGUGUCUCUUUUAAGCCCCACAGGAUGGAGAUGUCCUAAAAUAAGAAAUUAAACAAGAGGGGAAAUCCCAUUAUCUGUUUUUUUAAUGGGUCCCUCAAGAUUCCACGCAGACCCCCUUCCCAGCCGCUGUGUGGUCCAGGCCUGAGAACACCCAGCCCCCCACCCCACGGCCCACGCCCACCCACCACCCAGCCAGGGAGGCAGUUUCCCAGGAUUCACAUGGUAAUGAAGGCAUCCAUCUUCUCCCAGACACACACUGGGCCCUCCGACCCUCCCAGGCCCCCCGCACAAUGGCCCCCAGCACGGAGGCCCCACCACCUGUUGGAUUUUCCCAGGGAAGGGAGGAAGAGGGUGGAGGAGAAGAGCCCUUUCCUCCCAACCCCCAGCGCAUUGGCCCCCUCUACCUGGGAGUCAAACAGUGAGAGCCCAUGUCCUCACUCCCUCUUUAGCUGACUGCACCUUCAGUUUCCUCAUCUGCAAAAUGGAGGUGGUUGUACCUAAGUCACAGUGUGGCUGGAAGGAUUCCGUUGGGAA
Long non-coding RNA from Hippopotamus amphibius kiboko, 1098 nucleotides. RefSeq lists it as uncharacterized. The record is from RefSeq and is a predicted model, not a curated record. The transcript is spliced from 3 exons. NCBI's taxonomy places the organism in Eukaryota, Metazoa, Chordata, Mammalia, Artiodactyla, Hippopotamidae.